UGGGGAAUAUUGCACAAUGGAGGGAACUCUGAUGCAGCGACGCCGCGUGAACGAAGAAGGCUUUCGAGUCGUAAAGUUCUUUUAUAUGGGAAGAUAAUGACGGUACCAUAAGAAAAAGCCCCGGCUAACUACGUGCCAGCAGCCGCGGUAAUACGGAGGGGGCUAGCGUUGUCCGGAAUCACUGGGCGGAAAGGGUUCGCAGGCGGAAAUGCAAGUCAGGUGUAAAAGGCAGUAGCUUAACUACUGUAAGCAUUUGAAACUGCAUAUCUUGAGAAGAGUAGAGGUAAGUGGAAUUUUUAGUGUAGCGGUGAAAUGCGUAGAUAUUAAAAAGAAUACCGGUGGCGAAGGCGACUUACUGGGCUCAUUCUGACGCUGAGGAACGAAAGCGUGGGUAGCAAACAGG
RNAcentral lists this ribosomal RNA (403 nucleotides) under Fusobacteriota bacterium. RNAcentral's name for it is "Fusobacteria bacterium partial 16S ribosomal RNA". It matches the Rfam family "Bacterial small subunit ribosomal RNA", at positions 355 to 776 of the family's 1533-position model. Lineage: Bacteria; Fusobacteriati; Fusobacteriota. The record is from RNAcentral.